CAGUAGCCGCGGGAACACAGAGGGUGCAAGCGUCAAUCGGAUUUACUGGGCGUAAAGGGCGCGUAGGUGGUUAUGUAAGUGAGAUGUGAAAUCCCCGGGCUCAACCUGGGAACUGCAUCUUAUACUGCGUAGCUGGAGUGCAGUAGAGGGUAGUGGAAUUUCCGGUGUAGAGGUGAAAUUCGUAGAUAUUCGGAAGAACACCAGUGGCGAAGGCGGCUCACUGGCUCAUUCUAGACGCUGAGGUGCGAAAGCGUGGGGAGCAAACAGGAUUAGAUACCCCGGUAGUCCCUGUCUCUUAUAC
This 301-nucleotide ribosomal RNA is filed under the name uncultured bacterium. RNAcentral's name for it is "partial 16S ribosomal RNA". It matches the Rfam family "Bacterial small subunit ribosomal RNA", at positions 509 to 807 of the family's 1533-position model. The record is from RNAcentral.